ACAUUCAGUUGGGCACUCUAAUGAGACUGCCGGUGACAAGCCGGAGGAAGGUGGGGAUGACGUCAAGUCCUCAUGGCCCUUAUAGGUGGGGCUACACACGUCAUACAAUGGCUGGUACAAAGGGUUGCCAACCCGCGAGGGGGAGCCAAUCCCAUAAAGCCAGUCGUAGUCCGGAUCGUAGUCUGCAACUCGACUACGUGAAGUCGGAAUCGCUAGUAAUCGUGGAUCAGAAUGUCACGGUGAAUACGUUCCCGGGUCUU
RNAcentral lists this ribosomal RNA (260 nucleotides) under uncultured Rhodoferax sp. RNAcentral describes it as "partial 16S ribosomal RNA". It matches the Rfam family "Bacterial small subunit ribosomal RNA", at positions 1121 to 1382 of the family's 1533-position model. Lineage: Bacteria; Pseudomonadati; Pseudomonadota; Betaproteobacteria; Burkholderiales; Comamonadaceae. The record is from RNAcentral.